Non-coding RNA from Chaetomium sp. MPI-SDFR-AT-0129, 114 nucleotides. The record is from the annotation of a GenBank genome assembly. NCBI's taxonomy places the organism in Eukaryota, Fungi, Ascomycota, Sordariomycetes, Sordariales, Chaetomiaceae.
GGUUAUAUAGUAUAGUAGUAGUAUAUAUAUAUCUUAUAUAGUUCUAUCUAUAUCUGAGGAUAUAGUUAGGAGUAUAUUUAUAUAAGGUUAUAGGUUUAAUUCCUACUAUAACUA